CGAACCGUGCAAACGUUAUUCGGAAUCACUGGGCAUAAAGGGCGCGUAGGCGGCUCGAAAAGUCAGGGGUGAAAUCCGGCAGCUUAACUGUCGCAGUGCCUUUGAUACUGUCGAGCUCGAGGGAGGUAGGGGUCUGUGGAACUUCCGGUGGAGCGGUGAAAUGCGUUGAUAUCGGAAGGAACGCCGGUGGCGAAAGCGACGGACUGGAUCUCUUCUGACGCUGAGGCGCGAAAGCUAGGGGAGCAAACGGGAUU
This 254-nucleotide ribosomal RNA is filed under the name uncultured bacterium. Its description in RNAcentral is "partial 16S ribosomal RNA". It matches the Rfam family "Bacterial small subunit ribosomal RNA", at positions 526 to 779 of the family's 1533-position model. The record is from RNAcentral.